Molecule: ribosomal RNA, 400 nt
Filed under: uncultured bacterium
Lineage: Bacteria
Description: bacterial SSU rRNA
Rfam family: Bacterial small subunit ribosomal RNA
Source: RNAcentral
UGGGGAAUAUUGGACAAUGGGGGAAACCCUGAUCCAGCAAUGCCGCGUGAGUGAUGAAGGCCUUCGGGUUGUAAAGCUCUUUUCUUGGGGACGAUAAUGACGGUACCCAAGGAAUAAGCCCCGGCUAACUUCGUGCCAGCAGCCGCGGUAAUACGAAGGGGGCAAGCGUUGUUCGGAAUAACUGGGCGUAAAGAGCACGUAGGCGGUGAGAUACGUUGGAUGUGAAAGACCUGGGCUUAACCUAGGAACAGCAUUCAAAACGGUUUGACUAGAGAUCGAGAGGGGAAAAGGGAAUUGUGCGUGUAGAGGUGAAAUUCGUAGAUAUGCACAGGAACACCGGUGGCGAAGGCGCUUUUCUGGCUCGAAACUGACGCUGAGGUGCGAAAGCGUGGGGAGCAAA